This 253-nucleotide ribosomal RNA is filed under the name uncultured bacterium. Its description in RNAcentral is "partial 16S ribosomal RNA". It matches the Rfam family "Bacterial small subunit ribosomal RNA", at positions 524 to 776 of the family's 1533-position model. The record is from RNAcentral.
UACAGAGGUCUCAAGCGUUGUUCGGAUUCAUUGGGCGUAAAGGGUGUGUAGGUGGCGCGCUAAGUCGGGUGUGAAAUUUUGGAGCUUAACUCCGAAACUGCAUUCGAUACUGGCGUGCUUGAGGACUGGAGAGGAGACUGGAAUUCAUGGUGUAGCAGUGAAAUGCGCAGAUAUCAGGAGGAACACCGAUGGCGAAGGCAGGUCUCUGGGCAUUAACUGACGCUGAGGAGCGAAAGCAUGGGGAGCGAACAGG